UAUCCCUCCGCAGAGCUGGGUCUGGCCGCGGGCGGGGAAGCAGGAAGUAAGGUGUCCAGCGCCGCGGCCGGCUGGUCCUCCGCCGCGGCCCCCGCCCGCGUCCCCUUUACCCCUGGGCGCAGCGCUCCGGCGGGCGCGGGCCGCCCGGCGUAUUGUUCGCAGCCUUCGCGGCGGUGCGCUGCUGACUUUAUUUGUGCGCUUUGCGUGUGCGUGAGGUUGCACCUUUUGUAGGCUGGCGAGUCUCUGGAUGAGGAUGGGACGGGGGACACGGGCCCAGUUGCGGCCCUGCGCGAGCGGGACCUGUCAGCCCCGAGGUGCAGCGGACUUUCCGGCGUGGCCGGAAAAUCGAGGUUGAAUGCAUUCACGUGGUUCCAAAUUCAAAUAAACAGCAAGAAGUCUCCCUCCCACCCUGUCUGCCACCCACUUGGUUUUCCUUCUCUGGAGGCAACCUGGGUUAGUGGUCAGAAGACACGUUUAACUGUUUUCCAGCUGAGGCCUCGUGAGAACUCCUCGGACACCAAUUUAAAUCUUUAUUUCUAGGACUCCUUUCUCCAAUCCAGAAAUGAGGUUCCACCAUCUUGCCCAGACUGGUUUCAAACUCCUGGACUCAAGCGAUCUGCCUGCCUCGGCCUCAAAAAGUGCUGGGAUUACACCCAUGAGCCGCCUCACCCGGACCCUGUCUCUUAAAUAGUGGCCUUUUUACCUCUCUGCAACACAGGAAAAAUUCUGGUAGCCCGCAUCAGAAGGAGUGGCAUGGAGGCUUUGGAGUUAAGCAGAUUUAAUUCAAAUUAUGUGUCCGGUGCCUGCCAGCAAUGAGACCUUGGUAAGGGUUCUUAACCUCUCUGAGCUGGGACCAUACCUUCUGCAUUGGUUUAAUACGAAGGUUAAAUGCAUGUAAAUAAAUGACUUCUAAAAUAAAUAACAUUCUAAAAUGUUAGUAACAAGUAAAUACAAUAUUUAGAU
Molecule: long non-coding RNA, 963 nt
Organism: Piliocolobus tephrosceles (Ugandan red Colobus)
Lineage: Eukaryota; Metazoa; Chordata; Mammalia; Primates; Cercopithecidae
Exons: 3
Source: RefSeq, a predicted model, not a curated record